This 1235-nucleotide long non-coding RNA is filed under the name Macaca mulatta (Rhesus monkey). RNAcentral's name for it is "lncRNA (ENSMMUG00000048546.2)". The record is from RNAcentral. Lineage: Eukaryota; Metazoa; Chordata; Mammalia; Primates; Cercopithecidae.
GUUCAAUCUGACCUUGGGGACAAUAGCCAGGACUGGGGACAAAAGUAGGGACUAGAGAACAGAAUGAGCAAAUGUAAUCACCCAGGGGAGCAGGGAGCGUGUGACAGGGACAGUGAAGAAACAGGCUUGGCUGGAGCCCAGGGUCCAAAUCAGGGACCAGAAAGAAAACUACUUUCAAUGUCUCUCUUCCUUAUCAUCAGAACACAUCUAUCACAGAACACCUACAUGCACAAGAGGCCUGGCUGCCUGUGAGGUCAUAGAGGAGUGAAACGCACGGCUGUGCCUUCCGUGAGCUCAUGAGGUGGUUAAGAUGAUACACACACAUGCAAACAAGCACACCUAAGGCAGAGUGCCGCAGGAAGGACAGAGAUCAUUCGUGUGCGAGUGGUGAUCCAGCCAGGGCUUCUUGAGCAACUUCUUCACACCAUGCCAAGCACUGCAGAGGCAGAGUCAGACAAGGAAAGAUAACAGAGGGUCCUCAUCACAGCAACUUCUGCGCCCAUUGUCACCUGAAAAGGGGAGAGUGAUGAACCCCUGGGGCCCACAAUAAAUCUAAGUGCACUCCAUGAAUCCCAGGAUUGCUCAGAUGGAGUCUGGGCCAGCUAGGCCUGGUUGACCAUCAACUUAACUGCAGGAUGCACAAAAUGUAUCGUCAGGUGCCUCAGAAUAAGAAGCUAAGACGAGAGCAGAGGCUUACGGCAUGAGAUUGCAGAUCCCAAGGUCACUGGCAUCAUCUAAAGUGAAGAGCUCUGCUCAGACUCUGACUUCUGCUGUCAUCUAACACCCAGAAAUGGCCUCCAUGUGCACCCCUGGAACACGCCUUCUUUCCAUUCAUCUGGGGGGGAAACUGAGGUUCUGGGAGAGGAUGGAGCCCCAGCAAAGGCUGACAAUGCAGAAUCAGCACUAGAUGCCAAGGAGGGCAUUCCAGGCAAGAAGGUUGUGACAGUGAGUGUGCAUAGGGGACUUCAGCUGUUGAAUCGAGUCUCUGAUGAGGUGCCCGACCCAGAUCUAAUCUCAGGAAAAGAUCAAGACGAUUUUCCUGUUUGGGUUCAGCCCCAAGGGCAUUCUCGGAGAGGAAUCUGCCAGCAUCCUGCCUUGACAACUGUUCACUAUUAAAAUGUCACAAACAUGAAUAAAACAUGUUCAUUUCUAAAAAGAAAAAACCUGCUCUGUCUCAUGCCUCUCUCCUCCCUCCCCCAUUUCUCUCCCUCUCUCCCUCUCUCCCCUCUCUCCCC